Molecule: long non-coding RNA, 425 nt
Filed under: Nicotiana benthamiana
Lineage: Eukaryota; Viridiplantae; Streptophyta; Magnoliopsida; Solanales; Solanaceae
Description: long non-coding RNA (NBEN_LNC037724)
Source: RNAcentral
AAAUAUUAGAUUAUGGUGGAUGUCCAUAACUCCUAUAACACCCACUACUUUUAUCCAUUAUCUCUUUAACUUCCACUACUCCAAUACUUAUGGUUGUAACUCCCACACCUACAUGAUCUCCCCCAUGAUCUUCCUCCAUGAUCUCAAAAGCUUAAUGACAUAUUUAUGGAAUUCUUUUAGUAUACCUCUAUGCAGUACUAUAAAUAGAGGAUGAGAAAUCAUUUUGUAAUACACUUGGAUACAUAGAAGAAAUAUAUUCUCUUCUUUAUUUCUCUCUACUUUGUUGUCAACUCCCACACCUCCAUGAUCUCCCCCAUGAUCUUCCUCCAUGAUCUCAAAAGCUUAAUGACAUAUUUAUGGAAUUCUUUUACUAUACAUCUAUGUAGUACUAUAAAUAGAGGAUGAGAAAUCAUUUUGUAUUACAC